UCGAGAAUCUUCGGCAAUGGACGCAAGUCUGACCGAGCGACGCCGCGUGUGCGAAGAAGGCCUUCGGGUUGUAAAGCACUGUCAGGGGGGAGUAAAGUUCGCUUGAACUAUCCCCAAAGGAAGCACGGGCUAAGUUCGUGCCAGCAGCCGCGGUAAGACGAACCGUGCGAACGUUGUUCGGAAUCAUUGGGCUUAAAGGGCGCGUAGGCGGAGGUUCAGGUCCCGGGUGAAAUCCCACGGCUCAACCGUGGACGUGCCUUGGAAACCGGAUCUCUGGAGGGAGGUAGGGGCACGCGGAACUUCCGGUGGAGCGGUGAAAUGCAUAGAGAUCGGAAGGAACACCGAUGGCGAAAGCAGCGUGCUGGACCUCUUCUGACGCUGAGGCGCGAAAGCCAGGGUAGCGAACGGGAUUAGAUACCCCCGUAGUCC
This 429-nucleotide ribosomal RNA is filed under the name uncultured prokaryote. Its description in RNAcentral is "bacterial SSU rRNA". It matches the Rfam family "Bacterial small subunit ribosomal RNA", at positions 355 to 796 of the family's 1533-position model. The record is from RNAcentral.